UUUUCCUUGACUUCUCAUUUGCUUAGUAGUUUCAACCGCAUUCCAAGCGACGAAACGCCUCUUAGAAGAUAAGUGAAUGCCAAAGCGAAACAGUCUCUCUGAAGCAAUCGUUUCGAAAGCGUUACAAAAAGUAAGUAGUCCUUCUCCAAUCUUCUUAAUUUAUGCAUACCCCUUUUUCUCUCUAUACCUCUCUCUUUCUCUCUCUCUGCCAUCAGUGUUUGCCAAAUUGAAACGCUCAUGGAUUUUCAUGUGGUCAGAGAGUAAUGUCUUAAAAGUAACGUACAACCUUCUCUAUUUAUUUUCUUUGGUUUUGAUCUUAUAAAGCUGAAUGAUGAAAGUGAGAUAGAUCAUCAAUUGAUCGAAGGAAGCCUGAGUUUAAGCGAAAAGUGACACCAAAUGGUGCUUACGGUGGUGUUGGGUAUGACUCUACAGUUGCAGUGUUGUCGUCGAGCUUCCAGGAAGAAACAGUGGCGGUGAUGAUCAGCUUAGUUGUCCACCGAAAUCUUUUGUGCCUGUGUGGAACUAAUAUGGGGUUGAAUACUUUGUGGAUUUCUUUUAAUGGUGGUCUGUCUUUUGGGUCAUGCAUAUCUCAAAGAAAAAUGAGAACCAUUCUACAGCUGCCGCACCUUACAUUGAGAUACAUGGUCAGAGCCAGUCCUUAACCAGCAUGGUUAUUUGCAGCAAGUCUCAGUCUGAAACUGAAAGCUAACCUCCUCCAAGCUCUUACAAGUGCAGUACAUAUUUGAAACCGGGUUAAUUUGACACCUACAGCAGUAUGCUUUUUCCCAGUUAGUGAGAAACAUUCUUUCUUACAUUUUUAAUCCUUUGAUGGGUAAGAAGUAACACAUAGCAUUAUACAUAUCAUAUUGUCAUUAAUCAUGAUUACAAGUUAAGAGCUGGAAUCUUAACAUUUAUAAUCUUAACAUGUACAGUUUGACACAGACAAAAGCAUACACAUCAAUUGUUAGCAUAUACAUGUUUCCUUGAUGGACUAGAAACACAUCUUUAAUUAAGAAGAAGAAAUAUUUUGUUGGUCAUGUUGAAGUUCUUUGCGUUCUUUGCUUUAAAGAAUUGUUAGUUAUAUCAGUAUUGAUAGAAGUCCUUCCUGGUGUGGAUUCUGAGUAGAGAUGACUUCCCUUCUCACCAAAAUGAUUUAUUUUAUUCAUUUGAAAAAGUGCAAUUACACGCAGGUAGAGAAGAUGUUAAAUGUGGUGUUACAAUUAUUUUUCCUCAAGGCAGUUAAACAUUGAUGUCAAAGAUUACGCGAAGAGCACCUUUUACCUUGCAGGCUAGAUCCAACUCGGGACCUAUUGGGCAGCAACACGUUGUAAGGCUACCAACUAUUAAUUCAGGUGCAUCACAAUUUAGUGAUCACCAUGCAUGUAUUAGCUCUCAACAAAAUCAGAUUAGUAUGAUAGUUGCUGAACACCAGCCUCAUAAUAAUUUAUCUUUCCGAUUGAGGCCCAUCAUGGUUUUAAUUAUAAGUUUCCAGACCUUUUUUUUGCCCAAUAGAAUCAUAGUUUUCACUU
Long non-coding RNA from Lotus japonicus, 1529 nucleotides. RefSeq lists it as uncharacterized. NCBI's taxonomy places the organism in Eukaryota, Viridiplantae, Streptophyta, Magnoliopsida, Fabales, Fabaceae. The record is from RefSeq and is a predicted model, not a curated record. The transcript has 3 exons.